This 637-nucleotide ribosomal RNA is filed under the name uncultured bacterium. Its description in RNAcentral is "bacterial SSU rRNA". It matches the Rfam family "Bacterial small subunit ribosomal RNA", at positions 607 to 1244 of the family's 1533-position model. The record is from RNAcentral.
GCUCAACCGAGGAAGUGCUUCGAAAACUGGUAAACUUGAGUGCAGAAGAGGAAAGUGGAACUCCAUGUGUAGCGGUGGAAUGCGUAGAUAUAUGGAAGAACACCAGUGGCGAAGGCGGCUUUCUGGUCUGUAACUGACGCUGAGAUUCGAAAGCAUGGGUAGCAAACAGGAUUAGAUACCCUGGUAGUCCAUGCCGUAAACGAUGAGUGCUAAGUGUUGGAGGGUUUCCGCCCUUCAGUGCUGCAGCUAACGCAUUAAGCACUCCGCCUGGGGAGUACGACCGCAAGGUUGAAACUCAAAGGAAUUGACGGGGGCCCGCACAAGCGGUGGAGCAUGUGGUUUAAUUCGAAGCAACGCGAAGAACCUUACCAGGUCUUGACAUACCAUGAAAAGCUUAGAGAUAAGUCUUUCCCUUCGGGGACAUGGAUACAGGUGGUGCAUGGUUGUCGUCAGCUCGUGUCGUGAGAUGUUGGGUUAAGUCCCACAACGAGCGCAACCCUUAUUAUCAGUUGCCAGCAUUCAGUUGGGCACUCUGGUGAGACUGCCGGUGACAAACCGGAGGAAGGUGGGGACGACGUCAAAUCAUCAUGCCCCUUAUGACCUGGGCUACACACGUGCUACAAUGGUCGGUACAACG